RNAcentral lists this ribosomal RNA (868 nucleotides) under uncultured bacterium. Its description in RNAcentral is "bacterial SSU rRNA". It matches the Rfam family "Bacterial small subunit ribosomal RNA", at positions 9 to 873 of the family's 1533-position model. The record is from RNAcentral.
GAGUUUGAUCCUGGCUCAGGGCGAACGCUGGCGGCGGGCUUAACACAUGCAAGUCGUACGCGGGGUUCUCCUUCGGGAGGACUGCCGAGUGGCGAACGGGUGCGUAACGCGUAGGCAACCUGCCCUCGAGUGGGGGAUAACCCCGGGAAACCGGGGCUAAUACCGCAUAUUGUCUUGGAACCGCAUGGUGCCAAGAUGAAAGCCUUUGGGCGCUCGAGGAUGGGCCUGCGUCGGAUUAGCUAGUUGGUGAGGUAAUGGCUCACCAAGGCGACGAUCCGUAGCUGGUCUGAGAGGGCGGCCAGCCACACUGGCACUGAGACACGGGCCAGACUCCUACGGGAGGCAGCAGUGAGGAAUCUUGGGCAAUGGGCGAAAGCCUGACCCAGCCACGCCGCGUGGAGGAUGAAGCCCUUCGGGGUGUAAACUCCUUUUCUGGGGGAAGAAAUCUUGGCAUUUGUCGGGAGUGACGGUACCCCAGGAAUAAGCGCCGGCUAACUCCGUGCCAGCAGCCGCGGUAAUACGGAGGGCGCAAGCGUUGCCCGGAAUCACUGGGUGUAAAGGGUGCGUAGGCGGGGCUGUAAGUCAGAGGUGAAAUCCCCCGGCUUAACCGGGGAAUUGCCUCUGAUACUGCAGCUCUUGAGUCCCGGAGAGGCCGCUGGAAUUCCUGGUGUAGCGGUGAAAUGCGUAGAUAUCAGGAGGAACACCAGAGGCGAAGGCGGGCGGCUAGACGGGAACUGACGCUGAGGCACGAAAGCGUGGGGAGCAAACAGGAUUAGAUACCCUGGUAGUCCACGCUGUAAACGAUGGAUGCUCGGCGUUGCUGCCUUCGGGUGGCAGUGCCUAAGCUAACGCGGUAAGCUCCCACCUG